This 654-nucleotide long non-coding RNA is filed under the name Elaeis guineensis (African oil palm). RNAcentral's name for it is "long non-coding RNA (EGUI_LNC024440)". Lineage: Eukaryota; Viridiplantae; Streptophyta; Magnoliopsida; Arecales; Arecaceae. The record is from RNAcentral.
CCGAAGUCUUUUUGAUUAGCGCUUUCAUCUUUCUCUCUAGGUCGUUGAUGCGAGUCCUAAUUCGCACAGCAAUAGGAGCCAACAAGGGUUCGGUAUAGAGAAUGAGAAAGUUAUACCCAUCGACAGCUUGUUGGAAAGACUAGAUAAGUAUACAGAAUGGUACAAUUUCUAAAGAAAGAAAGGGGAGUCUAUUUCAUUAAUAAAGAUCUUCUUUAUAUAAAAAGUAGUAGAAAUGAAAGUACAAGAUACUUUAAUUUCUGACCUCGCUUGGAGGAUCGGUCAAGCUUUAAGCAACCUUCGAUAGGCCAACGGGCCCUACAAUUGAAGGAGUUGGCGUCAGGGCAAGGAUGUCAGCAAUUGGAGAUGAGGAUACCUCAACAAUCGUCGGUUCUCCAUCCGAUCAUCCCUUGGCAACUGUGGGUUCAGAAAGGACGGGCUCCUCUGCAGCUUCUUCCUCAUCCUUAUCUUGGAAAGAGAGGUCCAUCUCAGGGAGUCGAGCAAUGAUCAGGCAUCGGCAAUCCUCAAAUCCACUCUCCAAGCCGGUAUUGUAGGCCUUUUAACCGAAUGCAACUUUCAUGUCUUUGAAUUCCUCAAAAAUUUUAAAUGCCUUCACCGCAAGACGGCCGACCUCAGCAACCCACUCGUCGGCACUCU